UGGCUCAGCAGUUUAGAGCACUGGCUGCUCUUCCAGAGGACCUGGGUUCAAUUCCCAG
This 58-nucleotide transfer RNA is filed under the name Neotoma lepida (desert woodrat). It matches the Rfam family "tRNA", at positions 8 to 63 of the family's 71-position model. From Rfam's summary of the family: Transfer RNA (tRNA) molecules are approximately 80 nucleotides in length. Their secondary structure includes four short double-helical elements and three loops (D, anti-codon, and T loops). Lineage: Eukaryota; Metazoa; Chordata; Mammalia; Rodentia; Cricetidae. The record is from Rfam by way of RNAcentral.